AAAGAUAUAACUCAGCGAUAGAGUGCCACCUUGAUAUGGUGGAAGUCAUUGGUUCGAGCCUGAUUAUUCUUA
This 72-nucleotide transfer RNA is filed under the name Solanum tuberosum (potato). It matches the Rfam family "tRNA". Rfam says of the family: Transfer RNA (tRNA) molecules are approximately 80 nucleotides in length. Their secondary structure includes four short double-helical elements and three loops (D, anti-codon, and T loops). Lineage: Eukaryota; Viridiplantae; Streptophyta; Magnoliopsida; Solanales; Solanaceae. The record is from Rfam by way of RNAcentral.